RNAcentral lists this transfer RNA (74 nucleotides) under Halalkalibacter krulwichiae. RNAcentral describes it as "Bacillus krulwichiae tRNA". It matches the Rfam family "tRNA". Rfam says of the family: Transfer RNA (tRNA) molecules are approximately 80 nucleotides in length. Their secondary structure includes four short double-helical elements and three loops (D, anti-codon, and T loops). The record is from Rfam by way of RNAcentral. Lineage: Bacteria; Bacillati; Bacillota; Bacilli; Caryophanales; Bacillaceae.
GGACUUUUAGCUCAGUUGGUCAGAGCAGUCGCCUCAUAAGCGAUAGGUCACAGGUUCGAAUCCUGUAAAGUCCA